Molecule: ribosomal RNA, 509 nt
Filed under: uncultured bacterium
Lineage: Bacteria
Description: partial 16S ribosomal RNA
Rfam family: Bacterial small subunit ribosomal RNA
Source: RNAcentral
GACGAACGCUGGCGGCGUGCUUAACACAUGCAAGUCGAACGAAGAGCGAUGGAAGCUUGCUUCUAUCAAUCUUAGUGGCGAACGGGUGAGUAACGCGUAAUCAACCUGCCCUUCAGAGGGGGACAACAGUUGGAAACGACUGCUAAUACCGCAUACGAUCUAAUCUCGGCAUCGAGGAUAGAUGAAAGGUGGCCUCUACAUGUAAGCUAUCACUGAAGGAGGGGAUUGCGUCUGAUUAGCUAGUUGGAGGGGUAACGGCCCACCAAGGCGAUGAUCAGUAGCCGGUCUGAGAGGAUGAACGGCCACAUUGGGACUGAGACACGGCCCAGACUCCUACGGGAGGCAGCAGUGGGGAAUCCUCCGCAAUGGACGAAAGUCUGACGGAGCAACGCCGCGUGAGUGAUGACGGCCUUCGGGUUGUAAGCUCUGUUAAUCGGGACGAAAGGCCUUCUUGCGAACAGUUAGAAGGAUUGACGGUACCGGAAUAGAAAGCCACGGCUAACUACGUG